Molecule: long non-coding RNA, 1306 nt
Organism: Labrus mixtus (cuckoo wrasse)
Lineage: Eukaryota; Metazoa; Chordata; Actinopteri; Labriformes; Labridae
Exons: 2
Source: RefSeq, a predicted model, not a curated record
UAUAUUUCUAAUCCUUUUAUUCCUAGGUUAAUUUACUGAAACACACAGCGUCCUCUCCUCCCUUCUGACUCUGGGGUCAAGCUGCCCCAGCGAGGAGAGAGAUUGGGUGUCAGACUGCACAUAUACAUUUUGGCAAGAUAAAGCUCCUACCUUUUGUUGUGGCCACUGUGCAGUGUCACUCCAGCAUUCCAGUCAUUCUUCCUAGUGUGCUCGCAGCGCCAUUAUGUAGAAGAGUAAAUGCUCUUGAACAAUCAGACAGAGACUAUGGCUUGUGAAUUGAGGAUCUGGUUAUUUCUCUUGGAGCAGUUCUUUUAUAACAUCUCAAUCAUCCCGUCAUGGGCAAUCAUCACAACGGGCAAUUACAACAUGUGUGCUAUAUAAAAGACCAUGUUACGGACAGUUGGAAAACAAGGGAGGUGGACCCAAGUGCAGAAACCAAAAAUAUUUAAUUAAACAAAAAGGCCAAAGGUAACAAAACUCAAUUCCAAAAGUUCAACAAAAAACACAGGGAUCAAAAACAGGGAGCCACAGAGGAGCACAAGCAAAACUGACAUUCCAACAACAUACAAUGAACUGACACAGAAAGGAAGAAACACAGAGACUAAAUAGACAAGGGAGUAAUCAAACACAGGUGAGACUAAUAACACAGGUGAAGACAAUGAGGGCAAUCACAAUGGAGGGAAACACACAGAGGAAGGAAUGGACACAACACUGAGGACAACUACAAAAUAAACAGCCUGGAGGCAGGGCACAUUACCCAGAAAGUUCAGGUGGACGGCCUGGAGGCAGGGCACAUAGCCCGGAAAGUUCAGGCAGACGGCCAGGAGGCCGACCAAACACAGGGAGCAGUUCGGGUGGGUGGCCGGAAGGCCGACCAGAUGAACCCACGGGACCAGUGAGAGGCCAGGCCUCCCACGGAAACACAGGGGUGGGCAGAGUCAGCAGGGCCUCUGACGAGGGCGCAGGAGUCAGCAGGGCCUCUGACGAGGGCGCAGGAGUCAGCAGGGCCUCUGACGAGGGCGCAGGAGUCAGCAGGGCCUCUGACGAGGGAGCAGGAGUCAGGUGAAGACAAUGAAGGUAAUCACACUGGAGGGAAACACACAGAGGAAGGAAUGGACAACUACAAAAUAAAAUACAUGAAACACUGAAGACACACAGAACUCAAGAAUGAAACAAAACACACUAGAACAUAAAGAAACACUAGGAUAUGAAGUUACAAAAAUAACACAUGAAACACUAACCUAGAAAACACACAAGGGAAACAACACCAUCAGACAAGAAUGAGAACUAAAAACAACAAGAAAAC